CCGGGGUUAGUGGCGGACGGGUGAGUAACACGUGGGAACGUGCCCUUUGGUACGGAACAACUCAGGGAAACUUGAGCUAAUACCGUAUAAGCCCUACUGGGGAAAGAUUUAUCGCCAUUGGAGCGGCCCGCGUCUGAUUAGCUAGUUGGUGAGGUAAAGGCUCACCAAGGCUACGAUCAGUAGCUGGUCUGAGAGGAUGAUCAGCCACACUGGGACUGAGAUACGGCCCAG
RNAcentral lists this ribosomal RNA (231 nucleotides) under uncultured bacterium. RNAcentral's name for it is "partial 16S ribosomal RNA". It matches the Rfam family "Bacterial small subunit ribosomal RNA", at positions 86 to 334 of the family's 1533-position model. The record is from RNAcentral.